AACGAACGCUGGCGGCAGGCUUAACACAUGCAAGUCGAACGGGUGCAGCAAUGCAUCAGUGGCAGACGGGUGAGUAACACGUGGGAACCUUCCUAGGGGUACGGAACAACUCAGGGAAACUUGAGCUAAUACCGUAUACGUCCGUGAGGAGAAAGAUUUAUCGCCCUUAGACGGGCCCGCGUCGGAUUAGCUAGUUGGUGGGGUAACGGCCUACCAAGGCGACGAUCCGUAGCUGAUCUUAGAGGAUGAUCAGCCACACUGGGACUGAGACACGGCCCAGACUCCUACGGGAGGCAGCAGUGGGGAAUUUUGGACAAUGGGCGCAAGCCUGAUCCAGCCAUGCCGCGUGGACGAUGAAGGCCUUAGGGUUGUAAAGUCCCUUCAGCUGGGAAGAUAAUGACGGUACCAGCAGAAGAAGCCCCGGCUAACUCCGUGCCAGCCGCCGCCGUAA
Molecule: ribosomal RNA, 451 nt
Filed under: uncultured bacterium
Lineage: Bacteria
Description: partial 16S ribosomal RNA
Rfam family: Bacterial small subunit ribosomal RNA
Source: RNAcentral